Micropterus dolomieu (smallmouth bass) is the source of this 777-nucleotide long non-coding RNA. RefSeq lists it as uncharacterized. The record is from RefSeq and is a predicted model, not a curated record. The transcript has 2 exons. NCBI's taxonomy places the organism in Eukaryota, Metazoa, Chordata, Actinopteri, Centrarchiformes, Centrarchidae.
AGUCUGUGCAUUGCCACCAUACCCUCUGUGAAGUGCCCUGAUCUAUGCACCACAACCCUUAAUCAGACCAACGUGGUCAGCAGUUUGUUUACUAGCAGCUACACUGUCCGCUCAGGACCCAUUAGCCUUGUGUAUACCACUCCUGCACCAUUAACAACAACAGUCAGCACUACUCCGACCAUUACUCCAACCACUACUCCUACCGCUAUUACAACCACUACUACAACCACUACUUCACUAACUACUACCAAACCUGCCCAGAGUACCUCACAUGCUCCAGAACACCCCUCAGCCAUGGCAGCAGGAGUUAUUUUGACAACUAUCAGCAUAUUACUUAAAAACAUCUUUGUUUACUGAACAUGCUGCUGAAAGAUCUGUCAGAUUAUGGAGCACUACAUUUGUCUGUUUGGGACAUUUAAAAAUUGAAUUGUAUAUUUUGAGCUUUUUCACAGUAGCUAAUAAAGUGAGAGCACAUUACAUGCUGCUGUACUGCUCACACUGAGUGAUCUUUAUUACUGUUGCUUAUAUCACCAGUAGUGGGAAGAUGCUAAAGGAUAAGACGCAGACAAAGGGUUACGCAAUAUAAUAUAUUUUUCCUGAAAUAGGGCUUUAUUUUUAAUUUGCUUAUAUGAGGAGUCCAGGGACUUUGGAGCUUGUUGCAUGUCAUUUUUCCUCUCUGGUAGGUUUUUUAAAUAAGGAAACUACACUAACAUUUCAUAUCUCCAUUCACUUGUUAACAUCGUGUUCAAUAAAAAAUGUCUUGUCUGAUGGACAAUA